RNAcentral lists this unclassified non-coding RNA (364 nucleotides) under uncultured bacterium. Its description in RNAcentral is "contains 16S-23S intergenic spacer region". The record is from RNAcentral.
UCCCGGUUGGCCCGGGCAGUCUCGCGUGAAAAAUUCAACACACGAUAAGGGUUGCGCUCGUUGCGGGACUUAACCCAACAUUUCACAACACGAGCUGACGACGGCCAUGCAGCACCUGUCACUAGGUUCCCGAAGGCACUCCAGCGUUUCCGCCGGAUUCCUAGGAUGUCAAACCUCGGUAAGGUUCUUCGCGUAGCGUCGAAUUAAACCCCAUGCUCCACCGCUUGUGCGGGUCCCCGUCAAUUCCUUUGAGUUUUAAGCUUGCGCUCGUACUCCCCAGGCGGCAGGCUUAUCGCGUUAGCUUCUCAGCGCAGGGGGUCGAUACCCCACACUAAUAGCCUGCAUCGUUUACGGCGUGGACUAC